RNAcentral lists this ribosomal RNA (253 nucleotides) under uncultured bacterium. RNAcentral's name for it is "partial 16S ribosomal RNA". It matches the Rfam family "Bacterial small subunit ribosomal RNA", at positions 524 to 776 of the family's 1533-position model. The record is from RNAcentral.
UACGUAGGGGGCAAGCGUUGUCCGGAAUUAUUGGGCGUAAAGCGCGUGUAGGCGGUUUGAUAAGUCUGGUGUGAAAGUCCAAGGCUCAACCUUGGGAUGCCGGUGGAUACUGUCGAGCUCGAGUCCGGAAGAGGAGUGUGGAAUUCCUGGUGUAGCGGUGAAAUGCGCAGAUAUCAGGAGGAACACCAAUGGCGAAAGCAGCACUCUGGGACGUUACUGACGCUGAGACGCGAAAGCGUGGGGAGCAAACAGG